Molecule: unclassified non-coding RNA, 192 nt
Filed under: soil metagenome
Description: partial contains 5.8S ribosomal RNA, internal transcribed spacer 2, and large subunit ribosomal RNA
Source: RNAcentral
AACGCACGAGACCUGCGGACCUGCGGAGGGAUCAUUACCGAGUUAUCCAACUCCCAACCCCUGUGAAUUAUACCUUUAAUUGUUGCUUCGGCGGGACUUCGCGCCCGCCGGGGACCCAAACCUUCUGAAUUUUUUAAUAAGUAUCUUCUGAGUGGUUAAAAAAUGAAUCAAAACUUUCAGCAAUGGAUCUCU